UACGGAGGGUGCAAGCGUUAUCCGGAUUCACUGGGUUUAAAGGGUGCGUAGGUGGAAUGGUAAGUCAGUGGUGAAAUCUCCAAGCUUAACUUGGAAACUGCCGUUGAUACUAUCAUUCUUGAAUAUCGUGGAGGUAAGCGGAAUAUGUCAUGUAGCGGUGAAAUGCUUAGAUAUGACAUAGAACACCGAUUGCGAAGGCAGCUUGCUACACGAUCAUUGACACUGAGGCACGAAAGCGUGGGGAUCAAACAGG
RNAcentral lists this ribosomal RNA (253 nucleotides) under uncultured bacterium. RNAcentral's name for it is "partial 16S ribosomal RNA". It matches the Rfam family "Bacterial small subunit ribosomal RNA", at positions 524 to 776 of the family's 1533-position model. The record is from RNAcentral.